GGAGAGUCUCCGCGCCAUAUUACGGGAUGCAGCGGCUUGGGGCGGCUGAGGGGGGGGCGUGGCGCGCGGGCGGGGCACAGAGUCUCGGGGGUCCCUGGCCUGGGGCCGGCCAGCUGCCUCCUUGGGUCCACUCGGCAUGCGCCUUUGCCAUCCCGUGCCACCACCCGCGCGACAGACGCUAUCGCCACUGCCCUCGCGCAGGGCGCUGGACGCGGCCGGCGUGGAUCAAGGCGUGCGGCCCACUCGGGUGUCCGCGUGGGGCCGAUCACGGGGCACGCGCGCGAGGAAGGGGCGGGUCGCGGACACGGGGGGCCCGCUAGACGCGUGGACCCGAUCCGACGCCAGGACGGCUGGCCCUCGCGCGCCAGGGCGUAGCUGCGGCGCAGCAGAGGUGAGUGAGCUGUAGCUGUUUUUUGCUUUCUCAAGUUUUUUUUUAUGAGAGCGUUUUUUGGAUGGAAAAACAUACAAAAAGGGAAACUUUUUGUUUUUCUGGAGGUCAAAAGCUUUUCGCCUAUGGUGGAUAUAUUCCCUACCACCACGCCGUUGGACUUCGACCGAAAGGUGUGAACCGUAUUCCGGAUGUGGUGCGCACUUUGGUUGGGAAAAUGCGUGUCGCUACGUCUGUUUUGUGGUGAAAGCUGCAGUGCUACCUUUUGGUCGUGGGGGCAAAAGGGCCGGUGGCCAUGAGGCGUGGGUGGAUCUAGGCUGUGGGCUGUAAGGCCGCUGGGGGUGGCUUUGAGGGAAACCGGGGAUAUGACAGAGCUCAGGUGAUUUGUGCGGCGGGAUACGAAAGAAUCGGGUGUGAUUCAGAGGCUCCUGCUUUCAUUUGUUGAUGCUUUACACCUUGCGGCAAAGUGUGGCACCUCAGUUUAUCCCCGGGGGUGGUGGAGUGGUGGGGAGGUGUUGAUGGAGUGGUCGGGGUGGGAAUUGGUAAGCUGUAAAGGGGCCGGCUUUUCAAAGUCUGCUGGUGAAGCUGUUUUUGCUUUCUUAUUACAUGUGGGCUGAUAUCAUUGCCGGCUCUUAGGUGCAGAGGUGGCGGACUGAUGCGCCGACAAACACCGGACAGGCACGUUGCCUCGUCGUCUCUCAGCUUGAUUCUGUUGUCGCGGACUCAUUUCGAGUUGGUUUAUGCCGUCAGCUUCCUGUCUUCUGCGUUCCGUGGGCUUGGGGCUGCGGUUUUCUUGACUGAAUGCUUUGUUUCUAAGGAGUAGUCGCUGGGAGUGGCGGUUUGACCUGUUUGAGCUUGAUAGCAGGUGGUGGUGGUGGCAGGGUUCACAAAAAGCCUUUGCGAGUGAUUUCUCGCAGCUUUAUUGCUGACGAUAGGGGGGGGGAGGUGAGUUUAUGAGGCUCCUUCGGUGGCUCCAUUGUAGGUGUGGAGAGUGUUUGCGGCGACUGGACGACUUGGCAGUGCUGACGGUGCGUUUCGGUUGGCUCGUACCUGGAAUAAAACACCUUUGCAAGAUUCAAGAGCAGAGGAAAAAGCCAUUUUCUGUGGUUUCAACGUGUCGUACUGAAGGGCCGCUGGCUGCGGUCGGGGUCAGCUAGCGGUGACUGAACGCUGUGUUAGGUGUUGGUGAAAUCAUCUAAGUGGAACUUGAAGCAUCGGCGGGCUGACAUACAAAAGCUGUUCGAAUGCAGCUUAAGUGCUUCUGCAAUGCACUCCUGAUGCCCGACUAAGCAGUUGCUUGCUUGAAAGGUAACACACUAGCUCGCACGUGUUUGAUGGCGCACUGCUUGAACGGUUCUUUUGAAUCAUACUCCUGGUUUGGCGCGCGGUUUAGUGUGUGCAAUGAGAUUUGGUAAAAACGAGUCUCCCAGCGCUUGUUUCCCUCGUUGUCUCUGUUUCAG
RNAcentral lists this unclassified non-coding RNA (1848 nucleotides) under Leishmania donovani. Its description in RNAcentral is "gene:unknown". The record is from RNAcentral. Lineage: Eukaryota; Euglenozoa; Kinetoplastea; Trypanosomatida; Trypanosomatidae.